GUAAGCAUAAAAUUAUUUUUCCUUCAUUUUCUUUAACUGUUUUUUUAUCAAAAAAAAAAGAAAAAAAAAAAAGAAGAUAUAAUAACUUAUUUUAAUCCUUAAUUGAAAUCAGUGUGAAAUUAAAAACAGCCUGUCGUUAAAUAACAAUACUGUAAAGGUCUUCUAUAAAAUCACAGAUUUAAAAUAAGUUGAGUGCUUGGACAGUUUGAGCCUUCCCUUUAAUCAUGGGUCACUGGUUAGAAAAUAUAUUCUCGCUCUUGCCUCCCUCUAAGCAGGUGAACUGAGCUCGAGACUUUCCCACGAUCCCUCAGUAAAUCUCUCUUUGCUCUGCCCCUUUCUUCUGUCCCAGCCAUCUGUCUAUUUUUUAGAGUGUGUCUUGUAGAGCAAGCGUCAGCCACUGGGACAAGUCCAGCAUUCCAAAACAGAUUUCACCACAACAUAUCAUCAGAAAUACAAAUAUUUUGAUCCAAAACAUUAAAAUGCAUUACUAAAAACGUUGGAAUACCUAAUGAUCUCGCUUUCUUUCUGUCCGUCUCUCUUAUUAGAAAGAAACCCGUGGUGUUCUGACAAGACCGAGAAAAGGGUAUUUAAGAGCCCAUGCACUUAUCAUUAGAGCGUUAAAAGAAGCACGCCUGGUGCCGCGGGUCUCCUCCUGUGCUGCCUUCCUUCUAAACGAGUGACAUUGGCUGGCUGAGAGCAUGAGAAUGGAGCCUUUUGAAUAGCAGGAUCCUCAUACUUGGAUAGUAACCAUGGAAGCAGAUGCCUACUCUCUUUGCCCUCCUUACCUCCUUGCUCCCUCAAUGAAAAGAGGGCACGCCUUGCUUUCUUCUUCCUGACCGAACUUGCCUGGCCCUCAAAGGGAGCGAUUGAGCAGGUCACUGGUCUAGACUUGUUUGCAUGGUCCACGGAACAGCCUUGAGGUAACCCUUGCUCCCUGUGCGUCGCACCAGCGCAGACUGCUGGGGGGGACAUCGGAGAUGUGAAUUUGAAAAGGAGCUCCAUCCGAUUUUGCCUUUGUGCCUUUUCCCUCAUCGAUCGGCUGAAUAUCGAACCCUCUGUCUCUGCAUGUGUGAAAUGGAUAGCUUAGUAAGCAUUUUUUUUCUAAUCAAGCUCACGUUGUGGGCCAACUCUCUCAGUUUUUCUCUCUCGUAUUUAGCCACCACUCACACUCGCUCUCGAACCCUCCCUCUCUCUCUCUUCCCUCUUUCUCCAUUUCACUGUUUUCUUUCUCCAUUUCUCUCUCUCUUUUUCUUUUUCUUUUCCUCUUUCUCUUCUUUCUGCUUUCUCUUCCUCUUCUACACUUCUCUACGCUUCUCUCUUUUGAUUAUCUGGGACGUUUAGAUGAGCAUGUUGUGAUUCUUCUUAUCAAUGUCAUUUUUUAAAAUCUGUUAUUGAUCCUGAAGUGAUUUCAGCUUUGUGUUACCCUGGAUUCUGCAUGCUGCUAUACAACUGUUUGCUUUUUCAGUUUCAACUGGGAUGACCACCAACCACAGAGGGACUUUUUAGACCAUUAAAAAAAAAAGGCAAUUGCACUGCCUUUGUUUCCAUUCCUUCUUAAAACAUGCAUGGAUGACAAAUGGAGUUUUUUUUUUUUUUUAACAUUUAAAUAUUUAAUGUGAAAUAAUGAUGACUCAUUAGGUGAGUAUAAUUAUGUUCUCAUAUAUUACAUUUAGUAUUACUGAAUUUUUAAAUCAGCUGAUGUAAAAGAUAAAAUGAAAAAAAAAUCUGCUAUUUAAUGUAUCUAAUUGAAAUAUUUAUGUUGCGUAUGCUGGCAUUAAAGCUGUGAGUCUUUGAACUUAUCUGUGCCUCUCGGCACUUGGACGUGUUGCAAUUAUUGUGGGAUUAUUAGGCUUUCAUUGUGUACAUAUUAUAAUGAAAUUUCUUGAGUGCUGAAUUUUGUUAAACACCACUGAAUUAUUAUUAGAGUUACUAAUGAAUACAAUGUAUUCUUAAAUACAUUGUUUUUAUUAAGAAUUUAGGCUGUGUCUGUUCAGAGACAGAGAAAGACAAGUAUUAAAAAUACGUAAGAUAAUUUUAGUGAUACUAAAUGUCAUUCUUUAAUAAAAAAGAUUCUUAAUAUAUGAUUCUUAAUUAUGUGUUGAAAUUAUGUAUAUAUAGACUUGUGACUAUAUAUGAAAAUUAUAAAGAAGAAUGUGAUAUAAACUCAUCAAUAUAACAUCAUAUAAAUGAUAUAAAUACCAAAAGCAUACUACAUAGCACAAAGAAAAUGAAUCAUAUUUUUCUAAGAAUAUAUGACAACACA
Cyprinus carpio carpio is the source of this 2263-nucleotide long non-coding RNA. Lineage: Eukaryota; Metazoa; Chordata; Actinopteri; Cypriniformes; Cyprinidae. The record is from Ensembl.